CCAUGUUCUGCCAGUGAAUCCUGUUGCUCUAGGUCUUCUGCUCAUAUGCUCUAUUAAUAUCUGUCAUUGUUUGGAGCAAAGCCAAGUGACAAGAAGGAAGCGUUUAUUAGUAUCAACAUGUAACCCUAUGUAG
Molecule: long non-coding RNA, 133 nt
Filed under: Struthio camelus australis
Lineage: Eukaryota; Metazoa; Chordata; Aves; Struthioniformes; Struthionidae
Description: lncRNA (ENSSCUG00000016016.1)
Source: RNAcentral